This 805-nucleotide ribosomal RNA is filed under the name uncultured bacterium. RNAcentral describes it as "bacterial SSU rRNA". It matches the Rfam family "Bacterial small subunit ribosomal RNA", at positions 1 to 812 of the family's 1533-position model. The record is from RNAcentral.
UCGCCCUUGGAUCCAGACUUUGAUUCUGGCUCAGGACGAACGCUGGCGGCGCGCCUAACACAUGCAAGUCGAACGAGCGAGAGAGAGCUUGCUUUCUUGAGCGAGUGGCGAACGGGUGAGUAACGCGUGAGGAACCUGCCUCAAAGAGGGGGACAACAGUUGGAAACGACUGCUAAUACCGCAUAAGCCCACAGCUCGGCAUCGAGCAGAGGGAAAAGGAGCAAUCCGCUUUGAGAUGGCCUCGCGUCCGAUUAGCUAGUUGGUGAGGUAAUGGCCCACCAAGGCGACGAUCGGUAGCCGGACUGAGAGGUUGAACGGCCACAUUGGGACUGAGACACGGCCCAGACUCCUACGGGAGGCAGCAGUGGGGAAUAUUGCACAAUGGGGGAAACCCUGAUGCAGCGACGCCGCGUGGAGGAAGAAGGUCUUCGGAUUGUAAACUCCUGUUGUUGAGGAAGAUAAUGACGGUACUCAACAAGGAAGUGACGGCUAACUACGUGCCAGCAGCCGCGGUAAAACGUAGGUCACAAGCGUUGUCCGGAAUUACUGGGUGUAAAGGGAGCGCAGGCGGGAAGACAAGUUGGAAGUGAAAUCCAUGGGCUCAACCCAUGAACUGCUUUCAAAACUGUUUUUCUUGAGUAGUGCAGAGGUAGGCGGAAUUCCCGGUGUAGCGGUGGAAUGCGUAGAUAUCGGGAGGAACACCAGUGGCGAAGCGGCCUACUGGGCACCAACUGACGCUGAGGCUCGAAAGUGUGGGUAGCAAACAGGAUUAGAUACCCUGGGUAGUCCACACUGUAAACGAUGA